UACGAAGGGGGCUAGCGUUGCUCGGAAUCACUGGGCGUAAAGCGCACGUAGGCGGCUUUGUAAGUCAGGGGUGAAAUCCUGGAGCUCAACUCCAGAACUGCCUUUGAUACUGAAGAUCUUGAGUUCGGGAGAGGUGAGUGGAACUGCGAGUGUAGAGGUGAAAUUCGUAGAUAUUCGCAAGAACACCAGUGGCGAAGGCGGCUCACUGGCCCGAUACUGACGCUGAGGCACGAAAGCGUGGGGAGCAAACAGG
This 253-nucleotide ribosomal RNA is filed under the name uncultured bacterium. RNAcentral's name for it is "partial 16S ribosomal RNA". It matches the Rfam family "Bacterial small subunit ribosomal RNA", at positions 524 to 776 of the family's 1533-position model. The record is from RNAcentral.